UGGCGUGGCCUAAUAUACACUUCUUAAUACUGUGGAUGCUACGCACAGGAGUGGAAAGAGGCGUACCAUUUCUGAAAUGAAAAGGUUACUUAAAUUAAGUUUACUAAUUGCAGUUAUAUGGUCAACCGCUGAAACAUAUGUUACUUACAGAAAAGGUGAUUGUCCAGAUGGUAAAGAGGCUGGUGACGUAUGGUUUACAGAUGACUGUACCCGUUGCGUCUGUGAAGAGAAUAGCUUUAUCUGUGAAAAAUGCUCCAAAGAAUACACCAGUGAUCGAAUGGGGUGCUACAUGGUGAAACUUGAUGUGGAAGGAGCUAAGUAUCCAAUAUGCUGUGUGCAUUAUGUUCCCGUAUGUCCGAACGAUCCCAACUUUAGCCAAACGAAAUACGAACAAUAUAUGGCAAACUUUAAUGCACAUGUAUUAAAAUAAUGAAUUUACAGUGAACGCAAUAAAAAAAGACCGACCCAUAUUUCGUGUUCAU
Long non-coding RNA from Patella vulgata (common limpet), 482 nucleotides. RefSeq lists it as uncharacterized. The record is from RefSeq and is a predicted model, not a curated record. The transcript has 3 exons. Lineage: Eukaryota; Metazoa; Mollusca; Gastropoda; Patellidae.